GCGAGUGUACUGUAUAUAUGUUUUAAAAAUACAAUACUGGAAAAGGCAGGAAACUGUACCAACAAAUGGGGUAUUUUUAGGGGGGAGGGGGUUCAGUUCAACUUAAAUAUAGUAUUUUGCCAGUAAUUUUGUGCUAAAUUAAUGCUGUACUGUAUAAUAGGUAAAUGAUUAAACUUGAACAGUAACUAUUGUGUACCGAUCAUAGUUAAUGUUACUGAUCAAAUAUUACAGGUUAUAGCCUACCUACUAAUUGUGCUGCGAGUGUUGUUCUCUGAAUUGUUGUUAUACAAGUUGAUUUGUCUUGAUAUAAGUGGAUAUUUGGACUUGAUAUAAGUAUAAUUUGUCUAUAAAGGUUGACGGUUUAAUGACUUAUUUCAGAUUUGAGUGGGAGGUGGAUGACCUUUGUAGGGUAUUUGACCUUGGCUGAAGCCUUUAUAUACAAUAUACAGAAGUGUGUGGGAGGUGGAAGAGCAUUCUUGGCUAUUUGACAUUGGCUGAAGUCUUAUAAAGAUUUGAAAGUAACACCACACAUGGUGGAGCUAUUUAACUCUGCAAUCACGUACGAGAAGGAAGAACCAGGGGACGGUGACGAACUGGACUCCACCAUUAUCAUGCUCCACCACCAUUUGAGUUUAUGAUUUGGCCGUGAAGCUUGUCGUACAUGUGGCAACCCUGUUCCUAUGCGAUUUGAGUGGGAGGUGGAUGACCUUUGUAGGGUAUUUGACCUUGGCUGAAGCCUUUAUAUACAAUAUACAGAAGUGUGUGGGAGGUGGAAGAGCAUUCUUGGCUAUUUGACAUUGGCUGAAGUCUUAUAAAGUGUUGAAGAAGAAGAAGGAGGGGGGUCCACGACGUUGUUGCUGUCACUUACUCGAAUCAGUUAUCUCUGGGACUCGCUAAGACUAGUUGUCAAAUUUUUCUACUUCGGCCGUGGAAAGUGUAUCAGUUUUCCCCCGUCUCUGAAAACCUGAGGGGGGAAAUUCACCCUGGUUGAGAACCCCUGCUUUAUAGUUUACAAAGCCAUCUGAGUUACUUUCUGAAAUUCUGAUUGAUAGUUUUCAAAAUGAUUAGUUUUUGCAAAGUGUCUUACGACAGUGGUAGAAAAUAUAACAAAUUAUGGGAAGAAAAAUUCGUCUGUGUUAGUAUAGCCAGUGAUGGAAGUGAAAAUGGUCCAGUUCCAAGGAAAAUGUUGCAGAGAUUUGAAAGUAACACCACACAUGGUGGAGCUAUUUAACUCUGCAAUCAUGUACGAGAAGGAAGAACCAGGGGACGGUGACGAACUGGACUCCACCAUUAUCAUGCUCCACCACCAUUUGAGUUUACGAAGUGUGUGGGAGGUGGAAGAGCAUUCUUGGCUAUUUGACAUUGGCUGAAGUCUUAUACAGUGUAGAAGAAGAAGAAGGAGGGGGGUCCACGACGUUGUUGCUGUCACUUACUCGAAUCAGUUAUCUCUGGGACUCGCUAAGACUAGUUGUCAAAUUUUUGUACUUCGGCCGUGGAAAGUGGUUGGUCACGGCCAAACUAUUUGGCCGAAUUUUGUGUUAAUACCUCAUCUAGUGGAUUUUGAAGACAUGUCUAACAGAUUUUCAAAUUUCUCAAUUGAAACGUGUCCAGCAUAUGGGUUAAGCUUUAUAGCAGUGGUUCUCAACCUUGUUUGCUCCAUGCACUCUUUUCACCAUAUGUCAGAAUGUCAUUCCUCCCUCCUUUCCAAGAUUGUCUGCCUCAAAAAUUGCAUUCCAAAUAAUAUGCAUAUAAUACUGAAAAUCCUUUAUUAUUUCCAUAUUAGUAUCAGUUUUCCCCCGUCUCUGAAAACCUGAGGGGGGAAAUUCACCCUGGUUGAGAACCCCUGCUUUAUAGUUUACAAAGCCAUCUGAGUUACUUUCUGAAAUUCUGAUUGAUAGUUUUCAAAAUGAUUAGUUUUUGCAAAGUGUCUUACGACAGUGGUAGAAAAUAUAACAAAUUAUGGGAAGAAAAAUUUGUCUGUGUUAGUAUAGCCAGUGAUGGAAGUGAAAAUGCUCCAGUUCCAAGGAAAAUGUUGCAGAUUUGAAAGUAACACCACACAUGGUGGAGCUGUUUAACUCUGCAAUCACGUACGAGAAGGAAGAACCAGGGGACGGUGACGAACUGGACUCCACCAUUAUCAUGCUCCACCACCAUUUGAGUUUAUGAUUUGGCCGUGAAGCUUGUCGUACAUGUGGCAACCCUGUUCCUAUGCGAUUUGAGUGGGAGGUGGAUGACCUUUGUAGGGUAUUUGACCUUGGCUGAAGCCUUUAUAUACAAUAUACAGAAGUGUGUGGGAGGUGGAAGAGCAUUCUUGGCUAUUUGACAUUGGCUGAAGUCUUAUAAAGGUGAGCAUAACUAUUGUUGUACAAUGUUCCUGACUUGCAUAACCUGUUGGAAGAGAAUUAUGAGCAAAAUUUGUUGUAUUCAUAAGUUUCAAGAAUGGAUAUUUAAUUAUUAUAGAAAGUGUGGCUCAUGUAAGGUUAGAUUUUAUACUACUACUGUGGUAAGGCUACAUGAAUAGUAGUUUAGGCAAAGUAAUUAUAUCUAAUGUAGAAGCCAAAGUGUGUAUAGUUAAAAUUUGUAUAUACGAUGAAGUUUGUAUUAUAGUUAAUCAUUCGGACGAAGUGGUGUGCGGUGGGUGGGAAGGAGGGGGGUCCACGACGUUGUUGCUGUCACUUACUCGAAUCGGUUAUCUCUGGGACUCGCUAAGACUAGUUGUCAAAUUUUUCUACUUCGGCCGUGGAAAGUGGUUGGUCACGGCCAAACUAUUUGGCCGAAUUUUGUGUUAAUACCUCAUCUAGUGGAUUUUGAAGACAUGUCUAACAGAUUUUCAAAUUUCUCAAUUGAAAGUUUUUGCAAAGUGUCUUACGACAGUGGUAGAAAAUAUAACAAAUUAUGGGAAGAAAAAUUCGUCUGUGUUAGUAUAGCCAGUGAUGGAAGUGAAAAUGCUCCAGUUCCAAGGAAAAUGUUGCAGAGAUUUGAAAGUAACACCACACAUGGUGGAGCUAUUUAACUCUGCAAUCACGUACGAGAAGGAAGAACCAGGGGACGGUGACGAACUGGACUCCACCAUUAUCAUGCUCCACCACCAUUUGAGUUUACGAUUUGGCCGUGAAGCUUGUCGUACAUGUGGCAACCCUGUUCCUAUACGGUAUGUGUUAAUUGUGGUUAAUUUCAUGUUCACGAAGAUUUAAUGUUAAAUAUUUUAAGUGUUUAUUCGGACGUACUUCACAAGAUUUGGUAUAUAUUUUGGCUAUAGAGACGUACUGUAGAUGUGUGUUCUUAUUUUAUUGCAUUACAGUUGUACAAAGACUACAUUACUUAAUUUUUAGUUACAAUAUUAUUCAUUCGAGGACCGUGAAGACGAGUACACAAGACUGUUAGUUUCCGUUAACGGAACUGUUGUUGCACAAAAUCGGAAACAUUCUGCUAUAACUUAAAGUAGGCCUACAGUACUGUAGCUGUCGUUGUGGUUUUAGUUUUGUUUAAGGAUUUGUUCACCUUUAAAAAAAAAAAUAGAGUAAUUGUUAACUUACUUUGAAAUAAUUACAUAUUUAAAGUAUGCUUUGCUUGUAGGUUUUAAAAAGCCUUUAUAGAUACAGGGUAUUCUUAAAUAUGUAGACCAUCUUUACGAUACGAAGAAGUUAGUUUUCACGUUGUCAAAAUAUUGAUUUUUCCAAAAAUAAGCUUGACCUAAAUCCCUUAGUCUCCAGCAUUUGUAAGAAAGUAGUUUAAAUUUCAUACUAAGGUACUUUACACGAUUUUAAAUCUUGGUAAUUGUGUUAAUAUGAGGGCAACUGGUGAACUCUUUUAAUGCUGGCUGACUGGCUUUUCCUCUAGUCUUCCUACGCUGCCAGACAUACCAUGCAAUGCCUGCCUCGGCCCCAGCUUGCUGGCAG
Molecule: long non-coding RNA, 3899 nt
Organism: Homarus americanus (American lobster)
Lineage: Eukaryota; Metazoa; Arthropoda; Malacostraca; Decapoda; Nephropidae
Exons: 16
Source: RefSeq, a predicted model, not a curated record